UACGUAGGGGGCUAGCGUUGUCCGGAAUCAUUGGGCGUAAAGAGCGUGUAGGCUGCUCGGUGAAGUCCGCUGUAAAAGUCAAAGGCUCAACCUUUGAAUGUCAGUGGAUACUGCCGGGCUAGAGUCCGGAAGAGGCGAGUGGAACUCCUGGUGUAGCGGUGGAAUGCGCAGAUAUCAGGAAGAACACCGGUGGCGAAGGCGGCUCACUGGCUCAUUACUGACGCUCAGGCGCGAUAGCGUGGGGAUCAAACAGG
This 254-nucleotide ribosomal RNA is filed under the name uncultured bacterium. Its description in RNAcentral is "partial 16S ribosomal RNA". It matches the Rfam family "Bacterial small subunit ribosomal RNA", at positions 524 to 776 of the family's 1533-position model. The record is from RNAcentral.